Molecule: ribosomal RNA, 216 nt
Filed under: Glomeromycotina sp.
Lineage: Eukaryota; Fungi; Glomeromycota
Description: partial small subunit ribosomal RNA
Rfam family: Eukaryotic small subunit ribosomal RNA (bases 40-216)
Source: RNAcentral
GGGUCAGUAGGUUGGUCGUGCCACCGGUACGUACUGGUCUCACUGAUUCCUCCUUCCUGAAGAACCGUAAUGCCAUUAAUUUGGUGUUGCGGGGAAACAGGACUGUUACUUUGAAAAAAUUAGAGUGUUUAAAGCAAGCUCACGCUUGAAUACAUUAGCAUGGAAUAAUGAAAUAGGACGAUCGAUCCUAUUUUGUUGGUUUCUAGGAUUGACGUA